Molecule: ribosomal RNA, 484 nt
Filed under: uncultured bacterium
Lineage: Bacteria
Description: partial 16S ribosomal RNA
Rfam family: Bacterial small subunit ribosomal RNA
Source: RNAcentral
AUUGAACGCCGGCGGCAGGCCUAACACAUGCAAGUCGAGCGGAUGAAGGGAGCUUGCUCCUGGAUUCAGCGGCGGACGGGUGAGUAAUGCCUAGGAAUCUGCCUGGUAGUGGGGGAUAACGUCCGGAAACGGGCGCUAAUACCGCAUACGUCCUGAGGGAGAAAGUGGGGGAUCUUCGGACCUCACGCUAUCAGAUGAGCCUAGGUCGGAUUAGCUAGUUGGUGGGGUAAGGGCCUACCAAGGCGACGAUCCGUAACUGGUCUGAGAGGAUGAUCAGUCACACUGGAACUGAGACACGGUCCAGACUCCUACGGGAGGCAGCAGUGGGGAAUAUUGGACAAUGGGCGAAAGCCUGAUCCAGCCAUGCCGCGUGUGUGAAGAAGGUCUUCGGAUUGUAAAGCACUUUAAGUUGGGGGGAAGGGCAGUAAGUUAAUACCUUGCUGUUUUGACGUUACCAACAGAAUAAGCACCGGCUAACUUCGUG